UUUCCCCCUUGGUAAAAUUCAAAGAGAAUCCAACUCUUCAGCACCAUAAGCCCUGACUUGCAAGGAUGCAGAAAUGCCUAUGUAGGGAACUGGCUCUGGAAAUGGAGGUCAGGUUCAAGGAGAACAGAGUGGGUCCUACAGAGAGAAGCUUAUGACAUCAUCACAACCAACCAUAGUCAAGGAGGGCUGAUUCUGUUUGCGAAACAUUUUGAGCCGAUCAUGAAACAUUAACCUGAAAGUGAUUUAUCAGGGGAUCCUGCAGAGAUGAAGGAAGUGCCGCUCAGAAAACUUGAGUGACUUUUUACAGGCACACAUCAGCAACCAGAAAAUCCAGGGCUUGAGCCUGACUCUGCCUGCUUCCAGACACCUGCUGUUCCCCUUCACCACGCUCCUUUCCCCACCACCCAUCCUCCCCCGGGAAAGGCAGUGAGCCACUCCCCGCCAUGGGUCUAGACUUUCAUGGCCUCUUACCACCAGUAAAAUGGAAACAACCUCUUUAUUGGUAUCCUUGCCUCCUGCCUUGUCCCCACAUCCAUCCAGUCUCUCUGAGAUAUAAAAGCCAUGACACGCUCCCUUCUUAACCUCUUGCCUUCAGGAUCACAUCCAAAGGCCUUAUCUGGCCCAUCAUGCCCUUUUGUAGUCUGCUCAAGUGCAUUCCUGUCCGGUCCACACUAUUCCCUCUCU
Molecule: long non-coding RNA, 684 nt
Organism: Herpailurus yagouaroundi (jaguarundi)
Lineage: Eukaryota; Metazoa; Chordata; Mammalia; Carnivora; Felidae
Exons: 3
Source: RefSeq, a predicted model, not a curated record